Long non-coding RNA from Xiphophorus hellerii (green swordtail), 124 nucleotides. RefSeq lists it as uncharacterized. The transcript has 4 exons. NCBI's taxonomy places the organism in Eukaryota, Metazoa, Chordata, Actinopteri, Cyprinodontiformes, Poeciliidae. The record is from RefSeq and is a predicted model, not a curated record.
UUAUAUAAGCAGUUACAAGGCAAAGUGGUGAAACCUGAAACUGCUGCUGCGCAAGAUACUGAACAUGUUGUUGCCAGGUAACCAAAGAGUGAGUGAGUUAGUUGACGCCACCAAUCUUGCUUAG